GGCGGUCAGAGGACAGCGCGAGGCAGACACCGCCUCCGCCUGGUGAGGUAGACACCGCCUCCGCCUGGUGAGGUCUCCCGGCGUUCAGGUCGCGGCUCCGCCCACGGCCGCCCCAGGGUGGGCUUCCUACACGUCUCUUUAAAGGGCAGCCUGAGCGGCCACCGGGACUCGGAAAUGCUACGUAGUUUUCGUUCUCAGAAGCAGCUGUUUAUGCGCAAGCGCCCCCUUCUUCUUUUCGCUUUGCUACCUUCAAGGACCUUCUCCCAAACUGCUAAUUUUUCUUCAUCCGUUAAAGGUCUAUUGAUUCACAUUAUUUGCUGGCAGUGUGUGAAGUCAACGAACAAGACUGAGUCUUUGCCCUUGAGACGCGUACACUCUACCCAGAGACAAGUUCUAAGCACAGGAAACAAGUAAUUUUAUAAGAACAUCAUAGGGCAGUUAUUCUCCAGAUGAAUUCAGAUUAAAGAGGACACUUGAGCCGGAUUUGGAGGAAGAGAGCCAUGGUUUGGAAUAGAACAUGAACGAGUGCAGAGGAGUGG
This 539-nucleotide long non-coding RNA is filed under the name Homo sapiens (human). RNAcentral describes it as "HSALNT0293911". The record is from RNAcentral. Lineage: Eukaryota; Metazoa; Chordata; Mammalia; Primates; Hominidae.